This 740-nucleotide ribosomal RNA is filed under the name fungal sp. Its description in RNAcentral is "eukaryotic LSU rRNA". The stretch from base 506 to 740 matches the Rfam family "Eukaryotic large subunit ribosomal RNA", at positions 1 to 233 of the family's 3401-position model. The record is from RNAcentral. Lineage: Eukaryota; Fungi.
CAUUACUGAGUGAGGGCCCCUCGGGGUCCAACCUCCCACCCGUGUUUAACGAACCUUGUUGCUUCGGCGGGCCCGCCUCACGGCCGCCGGGGGGCAUCCGCCCCCGGGCCCGCGCCCGCCGAAGCCACCUGUGAACGCUGUCUGAAGUAUGCAGUCUGAGACAAUUAUUAAAUUAAUUAAAACUUUCAACAACGGAUCUCUUGGUUCCGGCAUCGAUGAAGAACGCAGCGAAAUGCGAUAACUAAUGUGAAUUGCAGAAUUCAGUGAAUCAUCGAGUCUUUGAACGCACAUUGCGCCCUCUGGUAUUCCGGAGGGCAUGCCUGUCCGAGCGUCAUUGCUGCCCUCCAGCCCGGCUGGUGUGUUGGGCCCCGCCCCCCUUCCCGGGGGGGCGGGCCCGAAAGGCAGCGGCGGCACCGCGUCCGGUCCUCGAGCGUAUGGGGCUUUGUCACCCGCUCUUGUAGGCCCGGCCGGCGUCAGCCGACCCCCUCAAUCUAUUUUUUCAGGUUGACCUCGGAUCAGGUAGGGAUACCCGCUGAACUUAAGCAUAUCAAUAAGCGGAGGAAAAGAAACCAACCGGGAUUGCCCUAGUAACGGCGAGUGAAGCGGCAAGAGCUCAAAUUUGAAAGCUGGCCCCCUCGGGGUCCGCAUUGUAAUUUGCAGAGGAUGCUUCGGGAGCGGUCCCCAUCUAAGUGCCCUGGAACGGGCCGUCAUAGAGGGUGAGAAUCCCGUAUGGGAUGGGG